Peromyscus maniculatus bairdii (prairie deer mouse) is the source of this 901-nucleotide non-coding RNA. The record is from RefSeq and is a predicted model, not a curated record. NCBI's taxonomy places the organism in Eukaryota, Metazoa, Chordata, Mammalia, Rodentia, Cricetidae.
CUCAACAUCAGCACCACUGCUGGGCUCUCGCCAUGACAUCACCUCCGAGCUCCCUGAUUGGCUAACAGUGGGUUGCUUGGCAAUUGGACAGUCUCCUCCGGCGGCGGAGCAGGGAUUGCCUGAAAUCUACCUAGCACCGCUAGGUCCUCAACAGCCCACUCAGGCAGCCUGAGCCAACCAGAGCGAGCCACAGGGACUGAGGGGACCCUCUGUACAGAUGCAUCAGCUGUUCACACACCGCCUGUCAGCUGCAGACAGCAGGCACAACAGGAAGAACAAGGGCCCUGUGGAGCAAGACACUCCCUCCAAGUGCCUCUCCCUCUGCUGGCCCUGCUAUGGAUUCUCUGUCCUCGAGUGCUACCACCUCACCUUGCUGCACGCCCUUCUCUUUGGAGGGUGUAAUAUUUUGUUAUAAAAUAAGAAAAAUGUAAAAGUUACUCUCUUACCUCCUUACAAGGAGACAGUUCGGUGGUAUUAUACAGCCACCAUGUUGCAUACAGACUGCCACCACCCAUAUUCAGGACCCUUUCAUCCCUUCAGCCAUCCCUAACCUGUCUCCUGCACAGCUCAAUAAAGCUGCAUGUCGUGUGCACCUAGUGUGAGCGAAUCAUGACAUCUGUCCCCCCCUCCCCCGUGGCAGACUUCCUUCGUUCACAUGUUUAAACGUCUUUGAGGCUCAUUCGUUUUAAGGAAGGUUUGUUGAGUAUUGAAUGGCAUUGGGGGUCCUCAUCCUCUACCACCCCAUAGACUGAGAACACACAAAUUACCUUGAAUCCAGCUCAGACUUGGAGGGGAAUUUUUUUUUUCUCUUUCCUUGUUAUUGUUUGAGACACAGUCUUGUUAGGUAGCCUUGACUGGCCUGAAAAAUCACUAUGUAGACCAGGCUGGCCUUGAACUCACA